UUCGUGGAUCGAUGAAGAACGCAGCUAGCUGCGAUAAAUAGUGCGAAUUGCAGACACAUUGAGCACUAAAAAUUCGAACGCACAUUGCGCCAUCGGGUUCAUUCCCGUUGGCACGUCUGGCUGAGGGUUGAAUU
RNAcentral lists this ribosomal RNA (134 nucleotides) under Ascaris lumbricoides (common roundworm). Its description in RNAcentral is "partial 5.8S ribosomal RNA". It matches the Rfam family "5.8S ribosomal RNA", at positions 25 to 154 of the family's 154-position model. Rfam says of the family: 5.8S ribosomal RNA (5.8S rRNA) is a component of the large subunit of the eukaryotic ribosome. It is transcribed by RNA polymerase I as part of the 45S precursor that also contains 18S and 28S rRNA. Functionally, it is thought that 5.8S rRNA may be involved in ribosome translocation. Lineage: Eukaryota; Metazoa; Nematoda; Chromadorea; Rhabditida; Ascarididae. The record is from RNAcentral. RNAcentral also lists the same sequence under 1 other name.